Carassius carassius (crucian carp) is the source of this 964-nucleotide long non-coding RNA. RefSeq lists it as uncharacterized. The transcript has 4 exons. Lineage: Eukaryota; Metazoa; Chordata; Actinopteri; Cypriniformes; Cyprinidae. The record is from RefSeq and is a predicted model, not a curated record.
GCAGCAAGCAAAGUUUUGAAGCUGCGUCGAAUUUGCUGAAACUAAGAAGUAGAAAGACUGUUUACAUUUCACCUCUGGACAAAGAAUGAUUGAUUACAUCUACACAAUAAUAAUAAGGAAAAAAAGCUUGUGUCAGCUGUCUUCUCUGAGCAGCGGUCUUGUGAUCACCGGCCUCAGUAUAAUAAAGUUGAGAUUUGACAGAACUACACACCCAUCUGAGGCCUACCAGUUUUAAUUCAUGAUCGCCCCGGAUACUUCUACAACUAACCCGCCUGGUGUCUGAUGUUGAUGCAGUCUGGGCACUAGUAUAUGUUGGCUUGCUGACUAUCACUGACGAUGAAGCACUUCUCCAAAUCUUGACCCCUUGUCUUCUGCCAUCAUUGUUCAGGGUAGUACUACAAAGAACUGUCUCCAGGGUCUACCUCCAACAUUUGCUUCCCGACCACCAUGUGCUACGUUUGGAUCACUGCUACAUGUGGGUUACCCUGAUACUGUGAAGAGCACCUACAAUAUGAUGCUUGACUUGGGACAGAAAAAAAAAAACAUUGGCAACUUGUGUGGCCAACUCAUUGCCGUAUUUAAAAUCAUUGUACCGCUACCUCCAUUGUUUAACAUAACCAAAAGCAGAUUGUUUUUGCUUUGUUUCAAAUUUUUUGUAAUACAAGUUAAAACUACAUUGAAAAAAAUAUAUCAUCUUUAACUUUGAACUGUCACUACAUUUGAUUUAAUUAUGUGUGUGAAGAAUAGAACAUUGUUGACAUGAAUUUGUAAUAGAUUUUUGAAGUAUUUAAGUUACUAGAGUAAUGGUAACUUUUUUUAAGGCAAUUGGUCAAAACUAGAUUUCUGUUCAAGUAAAUACAACUUAGAAAUUCCAAGUCGCAGGAAAUGUUACUUGAUUUAGCUAAACUUAAAUAAGUUGUUUGAAAUACGUACAUAGUAUAAUGUACUUAAUUUAGUUGUUGAA